AAAAUGCGAUACCUGGUGUGAAUUGCAGAAUCCCGCGAACCAUCGAGUUUUUGAACGCAAGUUGCGCCCGAGGCCUUCCGGCCGAGGGCACGUCUGCCUGGGCGUCACGCCAAAAGACACUCCCAACCCACCCGAGGGGGAGGGACGUGGUGUUUGGUCCCCCGUGCCGCAGGGCGCGGUGGGCCGAAGUUGGGGCUGCCGGCGAAUCGUGUCGGGCACAGCACGUGGUGGGCGACACUCAGUUGUUCUCGGUGCAGCGCCCCGGCACGCGGCCGGCGCAUCGGCCCUAAGGACCCAAGGAGCACCGCAGCGCGUAGCCGCUCGGACCGCGACCCCAGGUCAGUCGGGACUACCCGCUGAGUUUAA
This 366-nucleotide unclassified non-coding RNA is filed under the name uncultured fungus. Its description in RNAcentral is "sequence contains ITS1". The stretch from base 1 to 107 matches the Rfam family "5.8S ribosomal RNA", at positions 50 to 154 of the family's 154-position model. The record is from RNAcentral. Lineage: Eukaryota; Fungi.